UCCUGUUGUUGGUGGAAAUACCCAUCUCCCUCUCUCCUCUACGGUAUCCAGUCUCCACUGCUCCGCUGCGUAUCGAGCUGCUUUUCCCCACGGUGGUGGGUCCCUUAAAACCCGUUUCAGGCCUCCAUCGUCAGCUAGAUUGGCGUUUCCCGGCGACGAAUGGCAUCUUCUCUGGCGAAUCUUUUCGGUUUCUUCGGUAAAUUUCUCGUUGCGGUCGCUCCUCCGUUGCUCUUCCGCGAAUGUCGCGCGGUUCUGCGAUUUCUGCGUGCCAUCGGAGGAUCCGACCAGGAAUCUGUAUUGCAUGCACAUGGAUAUGAGAAUGGGAUUCAGAUGUUUAUUGAAGUGUUUGAUGCAACAUGACGGAAAAAAGGAGAUUACAAGAUUGGUAGGAUGUAUUAAUAGUUUUAACUAAAUUAUAUAUUUGUACCUUUAAAUGUUGUUGGACAUGAAAAAGGAAUACUAAGAAGAUAUUGUCUGUUAAGGUCUUUCAAUAUUCAUGUUUUUUGUUCAGACUUUCUAAUUAACUUAUGGAUAUAAGAAAAAUAUUUUGCACAGUUAAUGCAAUACUUACAUCCUUGGCCAAUCAGUAAAAAAAACGAAUGCUUGCCAUUGACAUGAAAAUAGAGGAUCAAAUUCAUUAUUGGAAGAGUUCAAUUAUCGCUCAAUGUUCAAAAGCAGUGACCAUAGACCUUUAUAAGAAUCCAAGUAUCUGAUAUGUAUCACACUCAUAGGUAACAUAGGCAGGAUUAUGUAGAAGUUGUUUGCUUAGGGAAGCAAAUUGAGCAUAUAGAUCGUGUAGUUAGUUAUGACUUUUCAAACAGGAGGAAUCUGCCUUAGUAUAAGUACAUUGUAUUAUGACAGCUAAGCUUUUCGCGAUCAAAAUGGGGUUAGUUGUGGAGCAUAAGUGAAGAAACAGCUUACUAGCAGGUUGAGCAAGAUUUAUGACUAGGUACACGUAUUGCAUGUGGCCUAUUAGAUUAUUUUGUGCUCUUUUUCCUUAGAGAUUUAUUUAGCCACUAUUUGUCUUAUCUAACAUUUUGACCGUGGAUUCAAGUGUCCAUCAGCAUGAUGUUUAACAUAACAAUGCCUUACUUGCACAUGGCACAUGCCAGCUGCGUGCCAAUGCUUGGCAUGUUGCCAUGCCAAUGCACAGCUCGUUUUGAAGUAUUUGCCAUGUCAAUGCCAUGUUGGCACUACCUUGGCAAGUGAUACUUUGACAUUGCAUGUGACUGCUUGUAUGCUUUUUAUUAUGGAAUGACCAUUGAUUACUCAAGAAUGAAUGAUCUCCGUGUCAGUCUAUUCUACAUGAAAAUGACCAAGAGAUUUAUUAAUUCUGUUUCGUCGAACAUAAUAAAUCCCUUCCUAUUUCUCAUCCUGCAUGCAAGAUGAGAAGGGAAAAAUCAUCUACCCCAGUUCGAUUUCCUUUGUGUGAGGCUUGUAUGUACUGCUAAUUUGGCUGUUUCUUUCUGCUCAUAUUGUGUAUUUCAACUGUCCAGUGGAUGUAUAUAUAAUUGUUGAUCUUUCCUCUUUUUUCCUGGUGUUUUCUGCAACAUUUUUCUUAUUAGCUUUACUUGAGAUCUAUGAUUUUGCAAUACUUAUCCUGUUGCUCCUUAUGGUGUUCAAUUUUGUUGGGGACUCCUUUUCUUUAUCAAGGCUUAUCCAAGAAUUUGUCACUGGUAUGUGGACAUUUUGACAAAUAACUUCAUUUCUUUUUUUUUGUUAUUUCUGUUGAGGUGUAUUUUCUUUUCACGCUGUCUUCUUUGUCAUGGACUUUAUACUGCAGUUUGUUCAAAAAUCUUGACUGUAGAUUUACUCUAUAGGGUUAGAAAUUUUUUGCUGCUUGCCAACAACCUUGUCAAGUGGAGUUGCAUUAUCAAUUAUAAGCUUGCUGGGGGAAAUGAUGCUCUUGCUUUUGUAUUGACAGUGAAAUCUAAUUUGUUAGGCAUUCUGAUGUGAGAGGCUGGCCUGUGAAGGCGUACUCACGAAUAGAUUCUAUUUGCCAGUUGCAUAAACAGUAAUUAGAAAGCUAUAUUCUAGGAAAAAAUAAUCAGAUGCAUCAUGUAACUUGCAAGGCUGCUACGGUUGACUUAACCUCAGCAAUGAGGAAAGUCUUGUAGAAAACACCAUCUGUGAUGGUUGCUGUUGUUGAGCUGCUUGGCUGAUCAUUUGGCGAAACUGGAUUUUUGGUCCUCCCAUGUGUUGCUUCCCACAUGAGCCAGAUAGUUAUCUACCCCCUUUAUAGUGUAACUUGUGGCUUCGGGAGGAUCAACUGUCUGCUAAAACCAGAGAAGCUCAGAUUGUGAGUCAGCACACUUUCAUAUGCUAGCUUCUCACAGAAUGCUCUACUGGCUGAUGCAUUUGCAGUAUUGUUCAUUAGAUUAUGCAUCUAGACUCCAGUAACUGUGCUGGUUGCCCCUAUUCGAGGACGAGGUUUGAUCAUUCAGGCUUCAACUGCAGUUAUCUGGCCUGAAGAAUGCGCUGCCCAGGAAUUCUAGACAUAUGUCUUGGUUUCUGCCUCCAUGAUGACCAUCCGAAUCUUGGUGCGGUGAGAGGCAGGGAUCAAUCCUUCGGUUUCAUCCUUCUGAAGAUUAUAUUGAUAAUUUCACCGAGGGGAUAGUAUAGAAAUAGUGUGAGUGACAAAUUGACGCCACUCCUGACUAAACUUUUUUCCCUAUUUGAAAGAUAAGCAUCACGUGCUUGCUGGUUCCGGCUGCCCGGCGUGCUUGGGCCAAUGAAUUCAUUAGUUCAUGGUUGGUAGUCCAGCAUUGCAUGGGAUGGCAACUCCAUGUCUUCUCUCUCUUUGAUAUUUACACAUGGUGUCGUCUUAAGGAUGAACGCGUCUGCUGUUAUAUGGCCAGUUUGGUCAUCCCUUGGUUUUUCAAAAAAUAAAAAAAAGGAAAGGAAAGAAAAAGAAAAGAGAAAAAAGGAUGGUUGUUUACCUGCUAGUUUCUAGUCAGGCCAUUAGACUGCCCAACUGUUUCUGUAUGGCACAUUGCUCCAGGUUACAGAGAAGUUAUCAGACCUUGCAGUUUUGGACGUCUUCAGCAUGGGUUGAUCUGGAGGAAUUUGUUGACAUAACAGCAGUAUUUUAUUGCCUGACAGCCAUAACUGAGAGGCCCUGAAAACAUGCACUGUCCUGUCUAAUGGGUUGUAUUUGUUCCUCUCGGUCAUGACUAUCCUGCAAAGCAUUAAUGGUCGUGAUUUGGAGAGGUAACACCAAAAUGGAGAGGAUUUCAUACUCAUUAUUGCCAGGGUUCAACCCCAACAUGGAGAGGAUCUCAACUGCAGUUGCUAAUAGGGCGGUAAAUAAUCCCAUCUGCUUUUGAGCUGCUGGGGCUCCGCUUGCCAACGGUCAGCUUGGGCUCGAUUCAGGUAACACGUGAGCCUAGCUGGGACAUAUUUUGGAGCCCAACUCAUAAAUGAGCGUACCGAAACACCAGGACUCGGGCUUAGCCGAGCCGCUUUCUUAAGCCUGGCCUGAGUUUGAGCCGCUCUUGAGCAGCUUGUUUAGGUGAUAAGCCAAGCCCAAGCAGCCUGGUAUGUAGCUCGGCUUGUCUUACUCCAGUUUCCCUCUGAGACAGGCUGUAGCAUGUUCUCAAUGCUGCAUUGCAUGGGCUGAUGUUAGCGUCGAGCCCACAUGUGAGGUCAGACAUUGUUGUUUUUUUUUUUUUGGUAAAACAGGAAGGGGUUAGAAGAGGGGGUGUUCCGGUGUGGCUACUUUCUCUGGACGUGAUCAUAAGACUUCUAAUCCUACUGAAGAAUAAUCUAUUCAAAAGGUAAA
Molecule: non-coding RNA, 3781 nt
Organism: Elaeis guineensis (African oil palm)
Lineage: Eukaryota; Viridiplantae; Streptophyta; Magnoliopsida; Arecales; Arecaceae
Source: RefSeq, a predicted model, not a curated record